RNAcentral lists this transfer RNA (76 nucleotides) under bacterium. RNAcentral's name for it is "tRNA-Trp". It matches the Rfam family "tRNA". Rfam says of the family: Transfer RNA (tRNA) molecules are approximately 80 nucleotides in length. The record is from RNAcentral.
AGGCGAGUAGCUCUAACGGUAGAGCGGCGGAUUCCAAAUCCGUAGGUUGUGGGUUCGAAUCCCACCUCGCCUGCCA